RNAcentral lists this long non-coding RNA (242 nucleotides) under Homo sapiens (human). Its description in RNAcentral is "long non-coding RNA NONHSAT178147.1". Lineage: Eukaryota; Metazoa; Chordata; Mammalia; Primates; Hominidae. The record is from RNAcentral.
UUUCUUUUUACUUGUUUUCCAGUUUUGCCAGGACGAUUAAAUAUCAUUGAUGCUUCUGGUCUACAAUUAGUCAGAGAAGAGAUUAAAAAAAUGAUGAGUAUUCAAGAAGGAAAGUGUUUGCUUUAACAUAUGAAGAAAAGGAGCUUCAGAGUGGUGAUUAACCCCAGAAUUGUGUGGAACGGAUAUGGAAACAAGACCACAGGAGCAUCGAGAACUGAGCAGAACUGAAGAUUGGGCGGAUG